This is a long non-coding RNA of Dermochelys coriacea (leatherback sea turtle), 4426 nucleotides long. RefSeq lists it as uncharacterized. The transcript has 3 exons. The record is from RefSeq and is a predicted model, not a curated record. Lineage: Eukaryota; Metazoa; Chordata; Testudines; Dermochelyidae.
AGGUAUUCUGUUAUUGUUCAACAGUGCAAUUAAACCUGUGAUUAGUAGUGAUUAACUUUUUUAAUCAUUUGACAGACCUAAUUAUGACUCUUUCAGCUUUACAAUUGGUAUCUCACAUUUAAAAUCUGGAAUUGAAAUCAAGGUCAUUUAACAAUAAAAUAUUUGACAUCAGGCAGGUGUGUUGGUAAAAUAGUAAAGGGAAGGAACUGAGUAUGCAAAGAGGGGGGCCCCAAAACUAUAACAACUCAUCAAACUUAAUCCAGCCCUGCUGAACAUGGCAAUGGUGAAAGCAGUAGUCUAGCCUGGACGCCAAAGAUUUUUUUUUUUUAAUAACCUAUUCAGAAGAGUGUCUUCAGUAUAGUCGCCUUUGCUGAUAACACCAGUGGUAAACAUUUUAGAUCUUAAAUUUGCUGGUGCAAAUGAGACCUAACACAGCGAGGACCCAAAUCUCAAUGUAACCCAUUUUGACAACUUUCCAGUUAUAACACCAAUCCCUUGUUGUGGUCAUUGUUGAAGUUAGCAUUAUUUGCUCUAAUCUGGAUAGCGACUUUAUAAAAACGCUUCAGUACAUCACUGUCUGUAUUUCAGUGAAGCAAAGACAACCCUUUUUGCAUUUUAUUAGGUCUUUAUUUAUUUUAAAGUGGGCUCCUUCGUAUUAUAAUACACAAAUUAAACCCUUAAAUAUUACUGGUAUAACUUUUAUUGUGAUAGUCUUUUACAAUUUCAAAUAUCUCUUAGCACUAAUUAAGUUGUGCAAUUUGUAAUUAUAGGAACCCCGCACAUACAAUGAGUGUGUCACGCUGUAGUACGCACAUAAUUCACGUCUGAACAGGGUGAGGCAGCAUGGAGAGUACAGUAUAGCUUUUUUGACUGCCUUAUUUUUCAUUUACACCUUCAGAAAAAUCUAAGUUUAAAGAUUACGUCAAUUGAUAGGUCUCAUACUUUAAAGGGAAAUUUUCUAUAUUAAAAAUUGUAUUACAAGUAAGUGCUAAUGAUCUGAACCCCAGUUAGGAUUAUCUGAAAUUCAGGAAUGUCCAUUUCCCCCCCCUCCCACCUCCUCCAAAGUCAAAUUUUUCUUUUCUAAAAUAUCAAUUUUCCAAAUUUUACAUGUCUCCAGAGCUGUCAGAAUAGAUGGCUUGUAUUUGUUACCUUUUAUCUUAAUUCCUUAUGUCUUAACACAAGACUAAAAAUGUUAAGUAAAUUGAUGUCAUUAUGCUGUGUGUUACUUUGGGCAUAUGACUCUCUCUUUUGGGGGAUGAAAAUAGACUAGUCAGUUGUAACCUCUUCAGUCAUUCUCACUUUGGUCUUGUCCACACUUGGCAAAGCCAGUUCACACGUCCGAGAUGAGUUAUCUGCAGAAAUGCACAGGCUCUUAAUGUGUAGACAAGGGCAUGCAGGAUCUUCUACCAAUUGAAUUAGUCCCAUUUACUUCAGGAACACUGCUGAAUUAGGGUUAUUCCGACAUGUAGACAUGUCUCCAUUUCCAUGGACUGUCGCAGGUUCUGUUUGUAGUAGGUGGUGAUGGUUACGCAUUGUUCUGUGCCAAUCCUUGUGGUGUCUGAAUGCCAUUGCGUAAACUUGAAAAAACUCCAGUUCCUUCUAGGGAAAGGAAUAAAACUCCUCCUCUCCCCACAGGCUAAAGCCAGUUAUUUCAGAAGUUUCGCAUUUCAGUAGUUUAUUUCCUAGAACAUGCAGCUAGACCUAUUUCACAACUUGUUUCUAGGCGAAGGCAGAUGAGCCAGUCCUUGUACCACACCUUAAGGAUGACAUGACUCAGGCUCAGACUAUCCCCAUCUGUGACAAAUUCCAUAAAGUGUGCAUGUGACCUUCCUGCAGUUCUGUGCCUGAGAGAUGGCUUCCUGUUUGGGCACAAGCCAGGAAACACAGCUAGCAUCAAUGAAGUGGUGACACGGAAUCUACCCAAAUUGCUGAUAAAUGCACCAAGUAAACAAACUGGUAAAAAAUUUAAGGCAAAAUACACCUUUUCUAUAAUCAGAUUCCAUUGUAAUAAUUGUAUAGGGUUACUAGUAGCAAUAGUAGAUACAACAUACUUGGGGAAACAUAACUUACAGGUUGGUAAUCUCCCCUUUUAAUCAGCGCUAUUUAGAGGAUGCGUAUGCCUUGACUUGCUGCUCUACAGAUCACUGGUUUUCCUGACUGGUUUCAUUGACUUCUUUUAAUUUAAUAAAAAUCUUCUUUGUCAGUUUUGUGGGUUUAAAAAAAAAACACAACUUUUUUGCAGUCUAAUUUAGGGUCUGUGCUCCUUGGCACUGUCCCUUUCAACAAGAUAGAAUUUCAAAGUAGAGCUCAUUGUCAUACAUUCAUUUGGCAACGUUGUCUAACCAGUAGGCUAUAAAUGCAGUAAACACUUUGCAGCCUUUACCCUUCUAUUUAAAUCUUUAUUCUGUUUUCUCAGGUACUACAGAGGCGGGUGUGAGAAACAAAAUCUUCACAGAUGGAUGGGUCUAUCAAUGCAGGCUACUGGGCAAUCUUUUCCUGGAGCUGCCAAAAGACUGAGGUGCAAAAUUAAGUCAAGGCUUUAAACUGUAAUUCCAUGUUGAGUGACUGUAUCUAGUGUAAAAUGUGGCUACUAUGGUGAUGGGGCUAUAGAAAUACCUCAAUGGAUGAGUGGUCUAAAGAUGAGAACCAUGAAGGAAAGUAAGAGGUACAUGGCAUAAGAUGUUGCCUCAUCAAAAUUUCACUUUGUUACACAUUCUCACUCUAGACAAGGAAAGGGGGCAUUGUUUAAUAGUAAGCAUGCUAGUCUUUGAGCUCAGUACGGUAUCCUGUUGCUGAAGGUCCCAAUAUACCAUCCUUCAACCUCUCCGGGCUGUUUAUGCAUUUGUAAAAUGGUGGUAAUAAGGAGUGCUAAGAAUAAUUGGUGGUUAAGUGGUUUGAGCUCCUCUGAUGUAUUUGCAUUGGGAAUUUUUUUUAUCCUUAUGUGGUUCCAAAUAUUGUGGAAUCCUGUGUGUUAAACUGCAGCUGAGGAAGUAAUGCUGUACUCCAUGAGUCUGAGUUGUCCUUAGCCUUUAACAGAUCUGCAGGAGGAAAGAUUAAAGUAAAGCAGAACUACUGACUGGCUGCUCUAAGCAAGUAUACUCUUACUUCAUAAGAAACGUUGUUCCUUUCCAAGUUCCUUGCUCAAGUUCAGUUCAUUUGAAGAACCAGAGGUUGGAGUCGUAGUGAUUGCGUUUUGGGGUUUUCUGUUUUUUUUUAAAUCCAUGAUUACUCCAGAAAAUUGUGCCAUGUUAAUCCAUGUUAAUAACUGGGCAAUCCAAACUGGAUGGAUGAGCCAUCACAAAUGCAGACGUGUUAGUGUGUUGUCCUAAAUGGUCUGAUAUCUUUCAUUUUAGAUUGAAUUAGUCUUGCUGUGGUGAUUCUGAUUCAUGAUCAAUUUUGGUAUGUUUAGAGGCAAACAAGUGUAUUAAAAAUAAGUGUCCAAGACAAUUGCACUGCAUCAUAGGUUUAAGGAGGUUUUCACAUGGAGUGCGGAAGAAUUCCGGAGUCUACAGAAAUUCUCCAGUAUGUCAUAGGGAAACUUAUACUGGACUUGUUCUGCUUGAUCUAAAAAUCUGUUUUUGCCAUAGAGAACUAAACUGAUCCACUCUGACCUGACUUUUAGCUGAUAACAGUUAGGCUGUGAAUGCUGAGUUGACGGGGGAGCUAGCACAGAAAGAGUGUUCUGAGUAAGGAAAACAUUUUAAAGUAGAAAACGGAUCAAGCUGAGAAAGAGUUAAGGGACAAAAAGAAUGAGUGGUAGAUUUCCUGAACAAGGGAAGAAAUUCAAGUAAGACCAAUCUAAUUUUCCUUCGGAGCAGGAACCGGCUUCUCAUUGUGUGUACAGUGCCUAGCACAAAUAGCCCUGAUGUCCGAUAUGGGCCUCUAGGCCAGUGUUUUUCAAAGUUCAGAUCGCGACCCAGUACUGGAUUGCAGCAUAUAAGGUACUGGGUCACCUUGCUUGGCACCCAGGGACCCUAGUGGCUCUGGUCAGCACCACCGACCAGGAUGUUGGAAGUCCCAUCAGUGGUGCUGCCCAGCUAAGGCAGGCUAGUGCCUACCUGCUCUGACACCGCGCUGCGCCCCAGAAGCAGCCAGCAGCAGGUCCGGCUUCUAGGCAGGGGGGGGUCACAGGGCUCUGCGUGCUGCUCAAGCACCAGCUCCACACUCUCAUUGGUGGGUUCCCUGUUGGUGAGAGCCGCUUGCACACCUCCGUCUAGGAGACAGACCUGUUGCUGUCUCUUUCCGAGACGCAGCACUGUCUGUGGCGCCAGGACAGGCAGGAAGCCUGCCUUAGCAUCCUGCUGUGACGCUGACUGGGAGCCACGGGAGGUAGGUCCACGCCCCAACCCCGUGCCCCAGCCCUAAGCCCCCUCCAAACUUGGAGCCCUCCUGCACCACAAAUCCCCCAUCCUUGGCCCCACCGCAG